Molecule: non-coding RNA, 23 nt
Filed under: Arabidopsis thaliana (thale cress)
Lineage: Eukaryota; Viridiplantae; Streptophyta; Magnoliopsida; Brassicales; Brassicaceae
Source: RNAcentral
ACAAAAACCGCCUCGGGUCCCUA